CGGAGCCCUCCGCCCCGCGCUCGUUCGCUGGUUCGCAGCCUCGGGUGUGUGUCCAGGGGCCGCUUGCAUAAACUCUGUGUUACGGCCCAGGAUGUCCCCUACCCACAGGGAUGAUGGACCCCAAAUGUCAGCACUGACAUGAGAGAGACCCUGCCUCAACAUGCAAGAGAUCCUGUUUGCUGUCUAUCUAUCAUCAACCAGUCUAUCAUCUGUCAAUUGAUCAUCUAGUUAUCAUCUUUCAAUCAUCAAUCAAUCAUCUAUCAGUUAUGUAUCUACCAUCCAUCUAAUUAUCCGGCAUCUAUCUGGUAGUCAUCUGUCUAUAUCUAUCUACCAUAUUUAUUCCUGUUGGCUCAGGUGGUAAAGAAUCUGCCUGCAAUGCAGGAGACCCAGGUUCAAUCCCUGGGGAGGAAAGAUCCCCUGGAGAAGGGAGUGGCAACCCCCUCCAGCAUUCUUGCCUGGGAAAUCCCACGUGCAUGAGGUCAAAAAGAGUUGGACUGAACGACUAUCACUUUCGCCAUAUCUAUAAUCUAUCAAUUAUCUAUCUCCUAUCUAUCUACCUACUUAACCUAUCACAGAUAACAAGCCAGUCUCAAAUAUCAGCAGUGCCAAGAAAUCCCAACCCAGCGAUGACUCAUGUGUCUGUAUCAGAAAGGGCCGGGGUCCUCUGUGGGCUGGCUCCUUCCCACCUCCCAAGACUUGGAAUCCUCCUACAGCCCUAUGAGGUGGGAUCCUUUAUCCCCAGCGUUCAAUCUUUCCCAGAAUCAGAGUCUUUUCCGAUGAGUCGGCUCUUCAAAUCAGCCCAAGUAUCAGAGCUUCAGCUUCAGCAUCAGUCCCUCCAACAUGUAUUCAGGGUUGAUUUCCUUUAGGAUUGACUGAUUUGAUCUCCUUGUAGGCCAAGGGACUCUCAAGCGUCUUCUCCAGCACCGCAGUUCAAAAGCAUCAGUUCUUCGGCACUGAGACUUCUUUAUGGUCCAAUUCUCACUUCUGUACAUGACUACUGGAAAAACCAUAGCUUUGACUAGAUAGACCUUUGUCAGCAGAGUGGUAUCUCUACUUUUUAAUAUGCUGUCCAGGUUUGUCAUAAUUUUCGUCCAAGGAGCAAGCAUCCUUUAAUUUCAUGGCUGCAGUCACCGUCUGCAGCUAUUUAAUUGCUCCCUUUUGACAAAUGGACUGCAGACAUGGGAGAAGAUGGCUUUGGGGAGGCUGAGGAGUGGAGGUAGGGGAGACAGAACUCUUUGUACAUCAUUGCAACUUUUCUGAAAUAAUAGUCUGGAUGAGCUAAACCUAUCCAAAGUAAAAACUUCCUUUUCAUGAAGUCAACAUGAAUUUUGGCCCAGAUGGGGCUGUGUCUCUGGGGGAGGCUUAUGCUUCAGGCUACAGAAUACACGGAGCCCUUUGUCACCCUCGAGAAUCGGUGACGUUGGGUCAGGGGGCCUUGGCUCACCAGACAUGAGUGUAAGGCCGCCUCGGGGCCAAGAGGAUUGGAGGGAGGAGCAGGCUUGGGAACAAGAGGGAUAAGUACCCAACCCUUUCCUUUUUCUCCCCCUCUCCUCUGGAUUACCAGAAAGUCUUGUUGGUUCUGCCUCCAAAAUGCAUCCUGAUUUUGUUCUCUCUACUACCUGGCACCACCCAGCCUUCAUCCCUGCUCCAACCCAUCCCUCUGGCCUCUUCAGCCUCGUCUCCUCCAUCACUCUGUUCCAGCCACCCUGACCCCCUUGUCCAGGACUUUUCAGCCUCCGGGCCUUUGCACUGGCUAUUCCAUCUGCC
Long non-coding RNA from Bos taurus (domestic cattle), 1767 nucleotides. The record is from Ensembl. Lineage: Eukaryota; Metazoa; Chordata; Mammalia; Artiodactyla; Bovidae.